This is a long non-coding RNA of Hippopotamus amphibius kiboko, 5833 nucleotides long. RefSeq lists it as uncharacterized. The transcript is spliced from 3 exons. The record is from RefSeq and is a predicted model, not a curated record. Lineage: Eukaryota; Metazoa; Chordata; Mammalia; Artiodactyla; Hippopotamidae.
CGGGCGCUGGCAAAUCCGGCCCGGGAUGUAGAGCUGGCGGUGCCUGACGGCGUGUCUAAAGCGGAGUUGGGGUGGGGUAGAGAGUAGGGGGCGGUCGCCAGGGGUGGUGGGAGAAGGAGGCGGCGGCAGCGAAUCACUGAUACAGGGCCCGACGCAGGACCUGAAGCCUAAACUCCAGGAAGCAUUAAAAAUAUUUUAAGCAACAAAAAUAUUUACAGAAAAUAAAACCAAAUUGUGAUGGGCCAUGAAAAGUGGAUACUGUACAGUAAUGUGGAAUGGAAGAGAUCAUGGGGCAAGCGAAAUGAACCACCACCAACCACACCAAAGGCCGGUUUUCAUCCAGAGAAGGUGAUGUUGUGUAUAUGGUGGGAUUGGAAGGAAGUCCUCUAUUAUGAGCUCCUUCCGGAAAAUCAAACGAUUAAUUCCAACAAGUACUGCUCCCUAUUAGACCAACUGAGAGCAGCACUCGGCGAAAAGCGUCUGGAAUUAGUCAACAGAAAACACAUAAUCUCCCAUCAGAAUACUGCAAGACUGCAUGUUUCUUUGAUGACUAGGCAAAAACUGUUACAGCCUGGCUGAGAAGUUCUGAUUCAUCUGCCGUAUUCACCAGACAUUGCACCUUCGGAUUUCCAUUGAUUUGGGUCUUUACAAAAUUCCUUUAAUGGCACAAAUUUCAAUUCCCUGGAUGACUAUAAAAGGCACCUGGAACAGUUCUUUGCUCAAAAAGACAAAAGUUUUGGGAAGAUGGAAUUAUGAAUUUGGCUGAAAAAUGGCAGAAGUUAGUGGAACAAAAUGGCCACACCAUGAGGCAUGCAGGAUCUUCCCUGACCAGGGAUCGAACCUGUGCCUCCUGCAUUGGGAGCAUGGAGUCUCAAUCACUGGACUGCCAGGGAAGUCCCUAUUUUUUACUUGUUUUGAAUACAUAGUAGAUAUAUUCAGAUAGUAGAUGUAUGUUUUUAAAGUUCUAAAAUGGCUGAAAUUGGAUUCAUGGCGAUGGUCAAGAACUUUGUGUGUACAUAUAUCUUAAUGGUAUAAUACCAAUACAGUUUGCAAGUAUAUUUUAAGUCCUAUUGAUCAUUUAUAUCCUUGAAUGUUAUUUUUGUUGUAUCAACUUCUGGCAAACUCUAUUAGACUGGCAAAUUUUUCUGCUCUGGCAGCAGAACAAUUUAAAAUGGUGAUUGGAAUAGCUUAAAUUAUUGUGGUUCUCUUGGUUUGCCUCUGAUAAAAACUGGGUUUUUUUUAAAGAUUUUUUUUGAUGUGGACAAUUUUCUAAAGUCUUAUUGAAUUUGUUACAACAUUGCUUCUGUUCUGUGUUUUGUUUUUUUGGCUGUGAGGCAUGUGGGGUCUUAAUUCCCCAACCAGGGAUCAAACCCGCACCCCAUGCAUUGGAAGGUGAAGUCUUAACCACUGGACUGACAGGGAAGUCCCCAUGAUAAAAACUUUUAAAUCCAAAACCAGAUAGUCAUCACUUUUUCAUAGUUAAUGACUUCCUCUAAUAAUUCAAUCUAAUUUGUUUAGCUGCAGCCCCUAUGGAAAACAGUGCAGCAGUUCCUCAAAAAAUUAAAGAGAGAAUUACCAUACACUCCAACAAUCUCACUUUUGGAUACACAUCCAAAAGAAUUAAAAACAGGAUUUCAAAGAGAUGUGUGUACAUCUAUGUUCAUUCAACAUUGUUAACAAUAAAGAAACGUGGUAUAUACAUAUAGUAGAAUAUUUUUCAGUCUUGGAAGGAAAUUCUGACACAUGCUACAACAUGGAUGAACCUUGAGGACAUUAUGCUAAAUGCAUUAAGCCAAUCACAGAAAGACAAAUACUGUAUCAUUCCACUCGUAUAAGGGAUCUAAAAUAGUCAAACUCUUACAGCAGAAGGUAGAACGCUGAUUUCUAGGGGUUAAUGAGAGGGAGAAAUGAGGAGCUGUACAGAAUUGCAAGAGAAAGUCUUAGAGAUUCUUGUACAAUAAUGUGGGCAGAGUUAAUAAUACUAUACUGUACUCUUAAAAAUGUUUACGAUAGUAAAUUUUAUGUUACAUGUUUUUACCAAAAUUUAAGAAUGUCAACUUCCUUGGAUAUUUGUACAACAUGCAUAGGGAUGAAAAUGUAAAAAUCUUUUUUAGUUGUUAAGGGAUCUAAGUAUUUGGAGGAAUGAACCAUGUUUUUGGAUUGGAAGUCUCAGUAUUUUCAAUUCUCCAAAAACUGAUGUAUGGAUUUAAUGUAACCUUAAUCAAAAUAGCAGUUUUGGGGGGUGGUUUUUGGUGGCACUUGAGAAGCCGAUUCUAAAUUUUAUAUGGAAAUGGCAAGGACCAAAAAUAGCCAAGAUAGUCUUAAAGAAGUAUUGGAGGAAAGUGGGAAGUUUUAAAUUUACUAUAAAACAUACUGAGAAUAUGUUACUGGCACGUCUGGCUACAUAAUUCACAGGACCCAGUGUAAAUGAAAAUGCGAGGCCUUUCAAGAAUUCCAAAACAGUAGCAGGCAAAUAUUAAAUCAAAUGCAGGGCUCUUCUGAGCUUGGGGCCGUAAGCAGCUGCAUUGGUGGCAAGCCCAUGAAUUCGGCCUGAUUAUUGUCUCAAAAAUAUAGACUAAACCAAUGGCACAAAAUAGAGAGCCCAGAAACAGGCCCAGGCACAUAAACUCAUUUGACCUAUGGCAAAAGGUGGCCCUACAGGAGCAGUGGGGAAAGGACAGUCUUUUCAGUAUAUGCUGACAAGAGAAAAAUCCAAGUGCAAAACUGUAUAGACUUGAAAAGAUGAAAAAGUCCUUAAAAAAGGGAAGGAAAUUCUAACACAUGCUAUUACAUGGAUGAACCUUGAGGACAUGAUGCUGUGUGAAAUAAGCCAGAUGCGAAAGGACUAGUGUAGUAUGAUUGCACUUACAUGAGGUACUUAGAGUAGUCAAAUACAUAUAAACAGAAAGGAGAAGGGCUUCUACCAGGGGCUGGGAGGAGGUGGGGGGAUGGGGAAUUAUUACUUUAGGGGUACAAAGUUUCAGUUUGGGAAUAUGAAAAAUCCUGGAAAUUAGUGGUGCUGAUGGUUGCAGGAUAGUGUGAAUGAAGUUAAUAAUUAGUACAGUAAAUCCCAUGUUAUAUAUCUUUUAACAAUGAAAAAGAUGAAAAGCAAAUAAUAUAGCUGUAGAAGAAAAUAUAGAAGAAUAACUUCAUGACCUUGGCCUACAGAAAGGUCUCUUAAGCAAGAUUCAAAAAGCACUAAUGCUAAAGAAAAUGUUUGAUGGCUUUGAUUCACUUGAAUUAAAGAACUUUAUCAAUGACACCAUUAAAAGAGUGAAACAUUAAGUCACAGAGUUGAAGAAGACAUUUGAAACACAUGUAAUUGGCAAGGGGCUUAUAUCCAGAAUAUGUAAGUAUAUAUAUAUACCUGUGCUUUAACCAUGCAAAUUAAAAUCACAAUGAACUAGCUCCACACAGCAAGACUGGCAAUGCCCGGGGUUGGUAAGUGUGUGAAGUCACAGGAACUCUUAACACUGCUGGUGCUGUAAUCACUUUGGAGAAUGGUGUGGCGUGUCUUCUAAGCUGAAGAUUUGCACACCCAUGAGCCUGCAGUUCCUCCAGGAGCUACUUACUUGCUAGCAUGUGUGUGUGUGUUGCAGCCAAAUACAUAUGUGAGUAUGUUCUUAUCAAUAUGUUGAUCAUAACGUCUGCCAUGGACUGAAUGUUUGUGUCCCCCAAAUCCAUACAUUGAAACUCAAUCCCCAAUGUGAUGGUAUUUGGAAGUGGGGCCUUUGAGAGGUCAUUAGUUCAUGAGGGUGGGGCCCUCAUGUGGGAUUAGUGACCUUAGACAAGGGACACAAGAGUUUCUCUGUCUCUGCCAUGUGAGAACACACGGGAAGACAGCCAUCUAUAAAUCAGGAAGAUGUCCAGAUGGCUUUCACCAGAACCUGACCCCUGACCAUGCAGUCACCCUCAUCUUGGACUUCCCACCUCCAGAACUGUGCAAAAUAAAUGUUUGUUGUUUUAGCCACCCAGGCUAUGGCAUUUUUGUUAUAGAAGCCUAAACUAAGACAGCCCCCAAAUGGAAACAAUGGAAAUGUCCAUUCAUAGUAUAAUGGACUGAAAAAAAAAAAGCAUAUUCAUACAGUGAAUUCCAUAUAGCAGUAAUAGAAUGAACUACAGAUGCAUCCAGCAACAGUGCUAAAUCUUCAAAGUACAUAAUAUUGAAAGAAGAUUGAUCUAAAACUGUGCAUACACUUUUUGAUUCCAUUUAUAGACAUUACACAGACACGCAGCUCUCACCAUCGUCAGUGGAUGCAAGGAGCCUGGUCAAUUAUAAAGCCGUUUUAGGAAGGGCUUCCUGGGAAUGCUAGGGGGCAGAAAUCCAGGCAGGGGGCAAGGAGGGAGGAGGUCCCACUGUCAUGCAUCUGACUGGUGGCAACACAGGGCUUUGCUUGACAAUAAUUUGCUUAGUUGAACAGUUAUAUAUUUUAAACAUUUUUUCUGGAUGUAUAUUAUUCACAAUAAAGAGGAAAAAUAGAAAUUAGAGCAAGUAUGAAAACCCUUUCAUGUAGUAUUACUGGAGGGGGAUGUGGAGUUGAAACUUUUUUCCUGGAUCCUUUGUGUAUUUGAUGACCUCUUCCCCACCCUGCCCCCCUCUUCAUCCUUCAGCAUUUAGAGGAGCUCCUGUGCUAGGAGAGGGGACUCUCCUCACCACUGCUGCCUCACUGCUGCUGCCCAGGCAGACACAGCCUCUGGCCCACACAAGACACUCUGUGCCGGCCAGCUGAGCAAACCCAGCUCUCUUCCUUAGGGGUGUUUCCUUGCUUCUUCAUAGGCAAGGAAGGUCAUUCUAUAUUUUGUUUUUAAUAUUUUUCCCCUUGGUUUAAAAAAAAUUUUUUUUUGAAUCUUUAAAUUUUUUUUUUUUUGGCAAGUCCGUUUUGAUUGUAUGCCAGAUGUUGUGUAUUUCACCAGGUUGGAGGCUUGAUAUUUUUGUAUUCUGAGAAAUAUUCUUGAGUUUUUUUUUUUCUGUGAUGCAAUUAAGUUACUUAGAAGUUAUUUGAUCUUUUAUGGUCUUGCUUUUGUGAUUUGUUGGGUGACUUUGGAGCUGUGCUCAGUCUAGACCUAAGAGUCUGGGUUAACCCCUGAGCACUCUCCCUGAUACCCAGUGAAUCUGAGGUUCCAGUCUGGCUGCUGGAGCCCCAUGUGGGCACAGGGCACUGGUCUCUCCCCACUUAAGGCACUCUUCACAGGAGCCUGUGUGUACCCCAGGGAACCCUCUGCAGAUCGCCAGGGCUCUCUUGGCAGCGGUCUCCUUUUAGCUCCUCUGUCCUAAAAACUCUAUAGCUUCCUUUAUCUCCCUGGAUGUCCAGCUUCAUCUCCUGAACUUGGGGAUCCCUCUCUAUUCAUCCAGGGGCGCCCCGGUGUCCUCUGCAGCCUAUUAACCUCUCAGGCAAGGAGCAGGGCUCACCUCAUCCAUUUCCCAUCUCCCAGGGACCACCAUCCUUCUGUUACUGGGAAGAGCUAAAUCAGACUCCAUGUUAGAUCAGUUUGUUUUACAUUAACCUAUGUAUUCUAUUGCUUUUGCUAUAAGUAGGAUGUUGCUUUAUAGCCUGGAAUAUACAGGAUAGCUCAUUCUCGAACCUCUGACUUUUAAAGAUAUAACACUUUUCCAUUCAAGUUGCAGAACAAAAAAUAACAUUCAGUCUUGUUGGAGGUUUACAGGAACAUCUUGACCUGACCUGUGUGGACAGCUGCAAGAACAAAGGAUUCUGUCAACAAGAAGUCUGCAACAACCAACAACACCCCCUUCCCUUUUUAGUAUAAAAGAAGCCUGAAUUCUAACUCAGGCAAGACGGUUUUUUGACAGACCCUAGCCUGCCAUCUUCUCGGU